AUGAUCGACUUUCUCCUCUUCUGUUGUCUGGCAGGUGUUAGUCUGGGUCUUGAUGUGCGUCAGUCUCCCUCUGAGCUCAUCAAAUCUCCUGGAGACAAAGUGCAGAUCUCCUGCAGCCACGAUAGAAUGGACUACAGGGUGAUGCUCUGGUACCAGCGCUCACCUGGAGACACAGCUCUGAAACUCAUCGGGUAUUUGUAUUAUAAAGAUGCCACAAUGGAGGAGCCAUUUAAAGAACAUUUCAAUAUCUCUGGAGAUUUGCGUGGAGAUUCGGUAAAGAAUGGCUCUCUUACAGUCCGAAAGACUGGAGUUGAGCACAGUGCUGUUUACUUCUGUGCAGCCAGCCAAGCACAGUGA
Molecule: non-coding RNA, 357 nt
Organism: Trematomus bernacchii (emerald rockcod)
Lineage: Eukaryota; Metazoa; Chordata; Actinopteri; Perciformes; Nototheniidae
Source: the annotation of a RefSeq genome assembly